Small nuclear RNA from Callorhinus ursinus (northern fur seal), 104 nucleotides. The record is from RefSeq and is a predicted model, not a curated record. Lineage: Eukaryota; Metazoa; Chordata; Mammalia; Carnivora; Otariidae.
GUGCUCCCUCUGGCAACACAUAUACUAAAAGUGGAAUGAUGCAGAAAUUAGCAUGGUCUCUGCACAAGGAUGACAGGCAAAGUCAUGAAGUGUUCCAUAUUUAA